CCCUUAGAUGUUCUGGGCCGCACGCGCGCUACACUGAUGCAUUCAACGAGUUUCUUCCUGGUCCGAGAGGAAUGGGUAACCUUUUGAAAGUGCAUCGUGAUAGGGAUAGACUAUUGCAAUUAUUGGUCUUCAACGAGGCAUUCCUAGUAGACGUAGUUCAUCAGACUGCAUCGAUUACGUCCCUGCCCUUUGUACACACCGCCCGUCGCUCCUACCGAUUGAAUGCUCAGGUGAGCCAUUCGGACUUUCAUCAUGCUGGUUUCCAGUUUUGAUGAAGGAAAGUCUUGCGAACCUUAUCAUUUAGAGGAAGGAGAAGUCGUAACA
This 324-nucleotide ribosomal RNA is filed under the name uncultured eukaryote. RNAcentral's name for it is "partial 18S ribosomal RNA". It matches the Rfam family "Eukaryotic small subunit ribosomal RNA", at positions 1470 to 1796 of the family's 1831-position model. The record is from RNAcentral.